Molecule: ribosomal RNA, 492 nt
Filed under: uncultured bacterium
Lineage: Bacteria
Description: partial 16S ribosomal RNA
Rfam family: Bacterial small subunit ribosomal RNA
Source: RNAcentral
AGUGAACGCUGGCGGUAGGCCUAACACAUGCAAGUCGAACGGCAGCACAGUAAGAGCUUGCUCUUACGGGUGGCGAGUGGCGGACGGGUGAGGAAUACAUCGGAAUCUACUUUUUCGUGGGGGAUAACGUAGGGAAACUUACGCUAAUACCGCAUACGACCUACGGGUGAAAGCAGGGGAUCUUCGGACCUUGCGCGAUUGAAUGAGCCGAUGUCGGAUUAGCUAGUUGGCGGGGUAAAGGCCCACCAAGGCGACGAUCCGUAGCUGGUCUGAGAGGAUGAUCAGCCACACGGGAACUGGGACACGGUCCAGACUCCUACGGGAGGCAGCAGUGGGGAAUAUUGGACAAUGGGCGCAAGCCUGAUCCAGCCAUACCGCGUGGGUGAAGAAGGCCUUCGGGUUGUAAAGCCCUUUUGUUGGGAAAGAAAAGCAGCAGGUUGAUACCCCGCUGUUCUGACGGUACCCAAAGAAUAAGCACCGGCUAACUUCGUG